AUUGAACGCUGGCGGCAUGCCUUACACAUGCAAGUCGAACGGCAGCACGGGGGCAACCCUGGUGGCGAGUGGCGAACGGGUGAGUAAUACAUCGGAACGUGCCCAGUAGUGGGGGAUAGCCCGGCGAAAGCCGGAUUAAUACCGCAUACGACCUACGGGUGAAAGUGGGGGAUCGCAAGACCUCGCGCUAUCGGAGCGGCCGAUGUCAGAUUAGGUUGUUGGUGGGGUAAAAGCCACCAAGCCGGCGAUCUGUAGCUGGUCUGAGAGGACGACCAGCCACACUGGGACUGAGACACGGCCCAGACUCCUACGGGAGGCAGCAGUGGGGAAUUUUGGACAAUGGGCGCAAGCCUGGUCCAGCCAUGCCGC
Molecule: ribosomal RNA, 369 nt
Filed under: uncultured bacterium
Lineage: Bacteria
Description: bacterial SSU rRNA
Rfam family: Bacterial small subunit ribosomal RNA
Source: RNAcentral